AUGGAUGAGCAUUUGAAAAGCAAAGCAACACAGUUUUUAUUUGUGAAAGUUCCACGAAAUCCCCAAUCUCGGAGGCGAAUUGGAUAGACAGAAUGGACAUUAUUGAGAAUUUCAAUGUCGUGACGAUGGUACAUAAGCAAACAUCAAUUGUUCUGCAAUACACGAUACGGUCCGCCAAGCUGGUGACAAUCCGAAACAAGAAAUGUGUGGUCAGUCUGGUUUGGGCAGGACAGCUGGAUGUAAUCUAUGCAGCGUUGUUGACAACACGGACAAAAUUGGCAAAAAGGUACUCAAAAAUCAGUUACAAAGUUGUACCGCAAUGACCCGUUGGACCAGAUUACAAUCGUCGUGCGUUAACUACGACCGUCAGCUAGAACCAGCUCCUAGCGGCUGAUAUAAAUGUAGCGGAGCAGGUGACUUAUUACCCGCAGACUAUUUCUCGCACGGUAAUUGGAACGUGUUGCCCAUCGAAAUAAUCAGCUGAAGAGGUUAUUUGAUAAUAAUGAACUACGAGCUAAAAACUCUAUACACCAAAACAUAAAUUGGUCAGCUUUCGUAAAGAAUCCAUAUUUUUGACGCCAAGAAAUGACGGGGAUUGUAGCUGCCCUUAAACAGACGAUCACGAAACACAAGAACAAAAUCAGCAGUUAAAAAAGAAUGGAAGCUAACUAUCGUCAGAGGGAUUAACUGUUGCAGCAAAACAACGAAACAAAUUAUCGAAAUCCAAAAAGUUCGAAAAUAGCUAAUCAAAGAUAGGCUCUUGGAUCAGCGUAGGCAAGGAAUUCUUCGGAGGAGUGAAGCACAUACGCAACAAUCACAAUAAGACCAUCGGGAACUCCAGAAAUGUAAUUAAAAGAGUG
Molecule: long non-coding RNA, 860 nt
Organism: Armigeres subalbatus
Lineage: Eukaryota; Metazoa; Arthropoda; Insecta; Diptera; Culicidae
Exons: 3
Source: RefSeq, a predicted model, not a curated record